GCUUACGAUGAUUUCGAUUUUGGCUGCGCGCAAAACAGCAAAGGCCAGUUCGGCGCGGCCGCCGGUUUGCUCGGACUGGGCCGGACCAGCAUCUCCUUCGUCGAACAAACCUCCCAGAAAUACAAACGAGUAUUCUCCUACUGUCUACCUUCCACUUCAAGCUCCACCGGCUACCUCAAAUUCGGCCCCGACGGAGGCUCCGGUAACGCAGUCAAGUUCACGCCGCUCAAAACUUUAUCCCAAAGCGCUACAUUUUACGCCCUUGACCUAGUUGGCAUCACCAUCGGUAGCCGUCAACUGAAGAUUUCAGCCUCUGUCUUUUCAAAGUCGGGGACAGUCAUCGACUCGGGGACAGUGAUCACGCGCCUCCCGGCCACCCCAUAUGCCGCAUUACGCGUGGCUUUUAGAAAAGCGAUGGAGAAGUACCCUUUUGCGAAGUCGAAGUCUGCCCUACUAGACACUUGCUAUGACUUUAGUGGACUUAAAACGGUGUCGUACCCGAAGAUAGGGUUUGUAUUUGGAGGUGGGGUUACGGUGGACUUGGACGCGACAGGGAUACUGUUCCAGACGAGUGGUUCGCAGUUUUGCUUGGCGUUCGCCGGAAACAAGGACGAUAAUAGCGUCGGGAUUAUCGGCAACGUUCAGCAGAAGAGGCUGCAAGUGGUGUACGACGUUGCUGGGGGAAGGAUCGGAUUUGGCUCUGCAGGUUGCCCCUGAUUGAUUAGCUACUUAAAUCAUUGCUGAUGAAGAUUUCUAACCGGUGGUACUGCUAAAUAUGCAGCUACCGAAAAAAUAAAGUUGUCGGUACGUAAUGAUCUCGUUGUUUUUGUGGUUCCGGUAAUGUCAAAGUGUUAGUUAUCUGUUAUUUAUCCUCCUUAUGAAUGUUUGUUAUCCUUUUUAAGAAAGCAGUAUUUUAAUAGAUUUGAAGUUCACUGAAAGUUUUCGGAAAAAAAAUUAGAGACUUUGUCUUUGAUUUAAACCGUUAGAACAUCAAAUAUUUCAUUCAGGUCCAAUACAGAACUUAGCAUAAGUGAUUACA
Molecule: long non-coding RNA, 1039 nt
Filed under: Malus domestica (apple)
Lineage: Eukaryota; Viridiplantae; Streptophyta; Magnoliopsida; Rosales; Rosaceae
Description: long non-coding RNA (MDOM_LNC014459)
Source: RNAcentral